Molecule: ribosomal RNA, 498 nt
Filed under: uncultured bacterium
Lineage: Bacteria
Description: bacterial SSU rRNA
Rfam family: Bacterial small subunit ribosomal RNA
Source: RNAcentral
GUUGAUCCUGGCUAGGAUGAACGCUGGCGGCGUGCCUAACACAUGCAAGUCGAACGGAGUUACUUAAGCUUGCUUUGUAACUUAGUGGCGGACGGGUGAGUAAUGUAUGAGCAACCUGCCUUUCAGAGGGGGACAACAGUUGGAAACGACUGCUAAUACCGCAUAACGUGCGAAGGGGGCAUCCCUUUUGUACCAAAGGAGCAAUCCGCUGAAAGAUGGGCUCAUAUCUGAUUAGUUAGUUGGCAGGGUAACGGCCUACCAAGACUGCGAUCAGUAGCCGGACUGAGAGGUUGAACGGCCACAUUGGGACUGAGAUACGGCCCAGACUCCUACGGGGAGGCAGCAGGUGGGGAAUAUUGGGCAAUGGGCGAAAGCCUGAACCCCAGCAACGCCGCGUGAAGGAAGAAGGUCUUCGGAUUGUAAACUUCUUUUAUGAGGGACGAAGGACGUGACGGUACCUCAUGAAUAAGCCACGGCUAACUACGUGCCAGCCGCUGC